This is an RNA transcript of Panicum virgatum (switchgrass), 4206 nucleotides long. It is a transcript of the gene named anaphase-promoting complex subunit 4-like, with no coding region annotated. The record is from RefSeq and is a predicted model, not a curated record. The transcript is spliced from 17 exons. Lineage: Eukaryota; Viridiplantae; Streptophyta; Magnoliopsida; Poales; Poaceae.
GCCGUCGCCGUCGCCAUUUGAUCCUCCUUCGCGCCCGCCCGUUCAAAAGAGUUUUCCCCAACCAAAAAUCCCCCACCCGCAUCCACCGAACAUGGCGGAGGAGCAGAUGGAGGAGGCGUCCACGGCAGCGGCGGCGGCGACGCCGUUCCAGCUCCAGUUCGACAAGCCCAUCCCGUUCCAGAUAAAAAUGGCAGAAUGGAAUCCAGAGAAGGAUCUGCUUGCUAUGGUUACUGAUGACUCCAAGGUUCUCCUCCAUCGCUUCAAUUGGCAAAGGCUAUGGACAAUCUCUCCAGGGAAGUGCAUCACAUCUAUUUGCUGGAGCCCUGAUGGUAAAAUAAUAGCACUUGGCACAGAAGAUGGUUUGGUGCUUUUGCAUGAUGUUGAGAACGGGAAGAUGCUAAGAACUAUGAAGUCCCACGAUGUUGCCAUUGUAUGUUUGAACUGGGCAGAAGAUGAUCUACUAUCAAGGCCUGACAAGGAUGAGUUUUUACCCUAUGAAGACCGCACCGCACGUUUCUUUCCACCUGCUCCUGUGAUGCCUAGGAUAGGUGGAUUAAGUUCUGGAGAUACUGGUCUUGCGGAUGAAAAUGAAGAAGCUAUUCCACAAUUUUGUAGUGCUUCCUGUCAGCGUUUUAACAUCCUAUGCAGUGGUGGUAAAGAUGGCUGUGUUUGCUUCAGCAUUUUUGGAAUAUUUCCUGUUGGAAAGAUAGUAAGUAAAUGACUGAGACUCAAUGUUGGAAUAUUUUUGUAAUACUCAGUGCUCUCCCUAAUUUGAACUCAAUAAAAAAUAAUUUGUCAUGCAUGCUUUCUCCUGAUUCCAAUGUUUCCUGUUAUUAGUCCCUGAGACCUUUGUACUGUAACAUGAAACAUGAUAUAAACAACAUGGAACAGUUCUUCUGGCAAGCUUUUCUACAAAAUUGCAUUCAUACUGUAGGUGUGCAUUAAUACAGUUGAACAGUUCUAGUGCAUCAUUUUUGCUUACUAUUCUUUCCGUUCAGUCAUGCUGUUCCAUCGGGACAAGACAGUUACAUAAUUUUUUUGCUACGUCCAGUAAGGCGUUAUUGUCAUGCUUUGAAGUUGGCAACUUGGCAUCCAGAAAUAUUUUUUUGUUACGAUGCUCAUUGUAAGCAAAGCAAGCUGAAGUCUUUUAGGCUUGAUUAUUGUUAUCAAUGGCUGACCCAACCAACAAGUGUAUGGUGUCAUCAUGUAUAAUGCUUAAGCAGCUACACUCUUCUGAAAAAAUACUCGUAGUAUUUUUAAAAGUGUCAUCACUAUUCAGUAUUAAGUAUUUAAACUUUGAACUUAUUCACAAAAUGCUGGAAAUACCCCUGAUUGUUGUCUAUGAUGGCAAACUGGACUGGCAUUUUCUUAUCAUCUAUGAUUCAUCUUCUUUUCCAAGUGCGCACAAGCUGGUGGUGUAACAUGAUAGGAGUAGUGACGUUGCUGUGUAAUCUCAAGGGCUGAUUGUAUGGACAUUUCAACCGCUGCUGCCUAAUUCUUUUGUGUUAUUUUUUUUAUGAAUAUUCUUUAUCCUGUUCAAGGUUCUAUGAAUCAGUAGCUUUAUGCCUUUGACAUUUCAGAACAUAAAUAAGAUUCCAAUCAAUGUUGAAUCCUCUGGAAAAAAGAAUUAUCAACUCCAGGAUGCUUCAGUAAGCAAGGUCUCUUUGUCAAGAAACCUCCAGAAAUUGGUUCUUCUGUGCUACGGAAAGUUGAUUGACACUGAAAACCUUUCUCACAACUGUGAAACUGCUGGAUUACAUUGUCUCUACCUAGAUACAUCUAUCUUUUUCAACCGGUAACGACAUAACCGUUUCAUUGAAUUUUACUUGCUUGUUCAGAAACCAUAUAUCAUUGUUGUAUGCUGACUUCUAAACUAAGAUCCACAUUUAGUGCUAGAAUUACCUAUCUUUUGAUGGGCUCAUUCACUCGCUUUACAAACCACAAUUCAGCUCUUUAUAGACAGGUGCAAAUAUUCAUUACUAAAAACAUACCAAAAGUAUUUUGUUAAUAUUUUUUUGUAAAGGAUCUUAACUCUUGUUAUGUGUGUCAACUUCUGCUUAUUAUUGUCAUGUACUAAAAUUUGUAUUUUACCAUAAAUGCUGUAAAGAAAAAAUGAGCUGCAUCAGGUGUCCCAACAAGCAUCGAGUAUUCAAAAUCUGGUUGAAGUUGUCCGCGCUUCCAUAUCUUUGAUAUCCAAACAAUGGUCAAGUGCCAUGAAUUUAUUUCAUGAGAAAUUUAGUGCCUUGCCAAAUCUGAUAGCUGCACAUGGAGCAGAAUCUAGUUCUGAGGAUGAAUUUCUAAGCCUUUUGUUUGGGACACGAACAAGUCCAGCACUUCACCAAUUUUUAGCGAGUUCACUUGGCGAAGCAGGUCUCAAGAGGAUAGCCAAGGCUGUUGACAGUGCUGGAAGAGAAAUUCGUGGCGUUGUCAGUGAGCAUCUUCAGCCUGCUGUCGAGAUUAUUUCAUUCAGACUCGCAGAAUUAAGAGGCCUUGCAAGAUGGCGUUCACGGUUUCAAAUUAUCGGGUUAGAUGAAAAGCUUAUGGAUCGUGUAACUGAGAGUAUAGGGAUGUUAGUUGUUCAAGUUGAGCGCUUUUCAAGGGUUGCAGCUACUGUUCUUUAUCUGUUUCAAAACUUCUUCACCUGGGUUUUAAAGUGUGUUAAGAUAUUACUAAAUGAACCAACUGAUCAAGUUCCAGCAGCAAACAGUGAACUUGUGGUGAUUUUUCUGAAGUUCCUCCUUGAUAAGGAUCCAAUCAAACAGCUACUUGAAGCAGACGAGAGAAUUGAGUGUGAUAUGGAUACUGCAAGACAUGUUGAGCAACUAGUAGUUUUUGGAGGAUUUACGGACACUCAAUUUUUGGAAAGGAGUUUAGUAAAACAAUUCAAUCAAUUGGAAGAUAGCUUGAAGGAGGCUUUCUUGAUGCCGUUUACCACUAUCUCUUCGCAAAUACACUGUCAAGGAUUGCUUCCUCUAUACCCUGUUACAUCAGAUACCUUUUCAUCAACAUGUACACCGACAUCGAUAUCAUUCUAUAAGGUUCAUGUUCUCUUCAGUGAUUUUUGACAAGAUGAAGAUUCGCAACAUGAGGAUUCCUCACAUAACUGGACUGAUUAUGUGUGCUUCAAGAUACCUGAUGGAUCAUUAAAUGAAAGAAAUUGCAUCGGUGUGAUAAAGGACUCUGGUAACUGUUGUACUGCUCUCAGCACGUCGUCACUUUCAGGUUUUCUAUUGCAUAUGCCUGACGAAUACGAGUGUGUUGACCUAUCGCUUUAUAAGGACAACCAAGUAGUUUUACUACUUAGUGAAAGGUCUCAUUCUGAUAGCCCUGGAAGAUCUUGGAUGGUGAUGCUGCAGACACAAAAUGUUUCCUUUAUGCCGCUCUCAGGAACAUUCCCCACAAAUAUUUACGGUCUGCAAAAACUGGUGGCACUGGAUCUUCAAUUGGACACAGAUUAUGGGAAAGUUCGUAGCAUACCUCACACCGUAUCUACUCCACUUGCAGUCAGUGCAUCAAGAGGAGUUGCAUGUGUCUUUUCAUCUCGGAGGCAUGCCUUGGUUUAUAUCCUUGAUGAGGAUGAGGAUGAGGACGAGGAUGGGGAUGAAGUUUCUGAUAUGGAGUGAUUGGUAUCCAAUUCGUGGAAGCUUGAGCUCAGACAUUUCAGUGAAUGUCAUCAUACCGCACUAAGCUGGACUUUCUGUACUGGAGGCAGGAGCUGGGAAUUAGCAUAUAUACGGAAACUAACUUGCCUCUAGUUUUCACGACAAAGCACUAGAGCAGUGCAAGUUCUGGUUCUGAAGCUACAUCAGCGUGGUGGCAGGUUAGGUUAGAAUGUGCUCUGCCACUUUUGGGGCUGAAACUGUCAGCUGUAUGGGUGGGCUCUGCAAGUUGGACUUGAUCGUGGUUAUCUGCAAAGCGAGCUUUGAUGGGAAAUGGUUUCGCAAUAUCUUUAUUUAUAGCCGUUGCCCCAUUUCUGAUCGAAUUGUGUUACAGUUAGUACGUCUUGAAUCUUGAUCGUAGGUGUAACGCUAACGUGCUAAAGAGUUGUCUUGCAAAUCUUGAUGGUUACAAGGGCUGAUAUGUCAAUCGAGGACAUUUUUCGUAGAUUUUUUUUUUGCACCGUUGAGCUGCUUUGAUUUGGAAACAUAUUAAGUGUAAACUUUUUUCUUGGUUCCAGUAGGCUAUUUUACUUGGCAUUUUUAAAUA